UACUGAAAAAGCCUCCGGCAUGACCAGCGGCCGCUGUAAAUGUUGAGCAGGCGGUGCCUUCCCUUAGGGCUAUGCUUCGCCCCAUCCGCCCCUCGCUCAGCUGCAGCUUAUCGGGGUCUUCCUCUGCCAAAUGAAACAGUUCAGCCCCCGAGCCUUAUCUGGGAAAAACAUGAUUUACAGGAGAUGACAGGACCUUUCCCAUUCCACCCAACAAGCAGCUGCUUGGGGAAUGCAACUGGAGACACACCGACGAGCGCCAGAGGUUUUUAGGGAGGGCAGACAGUUUCUAAUCCUCUGACCACAUCAUACGGGAGGGAAAAAGGCAUUGGCAGCUCCCGAGGACGGAGAGAGACAGCGAAAGAGGGAGAGGAAGCGCAAUAUGUGUUUAUUCUCAGGAAUGAAGACGGCAAGGAAUGUGUAAUUCUGCAAGGGGGAUCAUAGCCGUGGCGUCCUCUAAUCGCGAGUCUCGCCCAGGGCAGCUCUGCCUACGGGAUUGGUAUUUUGGAGCAGCAAACAUGCGAUCGGGUGGCGGAACGCAAU
Molecule: long non-coding RNA, 540 nt
Organism: Egretta garzetta (little egret)
Lineage: Eukaryota; Metazoa; Chordata; Aves; Pelecaniformes; Ardeidae
Exons: 2
Source: RefSeq, a predicted model, not a curated record